UGCCUGGUCUUCUGGAGCGGAGAAAUCAAUCGGGAAACCAUGCAAUUGAGGCGAAACUUGGGCUGUUUAGAGUUGCUGACAUCCGAGGAGCCUUCUCCUGG
RNAcentral lists this long non-coding RNA (101 nucleotides) under Jaculus jaculus (lesser Egyptian jerboa). RNAcentral's name for it is "HOXA11 antisense RNA 1 conserved region 3 (ENSJJAG00000001034.1)". It matches the Rfam family "HOXA11 antisense RNA 1 conserved region 3". Lineage: Eukaryota; Metazoa; Chordata; Mammalia; Rodentia; Dipodidae. The record is from RNAcentral.